Molecule: ribosomal RNA, 258 nt
Filed under: uncultured bacterium
Lineage: Bacteria
Description: partial 16S ribosomal RNA
Rfam family: Bacterial small subunit ribosomal RNA
Source: RNAcentral
UACGUAGGGCGCAAGCGUUGUCCGGAAUUAUUGGGCGUAAAGAGCUCGUAGGCGGUUUGUCGCGUCUGGUGUGAAAACUCAAGGCUCAACCUUGAGCUUGCAUCGGGGUACGGGGCAGACUAGAGUGCGGUAGGGGGUGACUGGAAUUCCUGGUGUAGCGGUGGAAUGCGCAGAUAUCAGGAGGAACACCGAUGGCGAAGGCAGGUCACUGGGCCGCAACUGACGCUGAGGAGCGAAAAGCAUGGGGGAGCGAACAGG